GAGUAACACUGGGUGAUCUGCCUUGCACUUCGGGAUAAGCUUGGGAAACUGGGUCUAAUACCGGAUAGGACAGCUGUUUAGUGUCAGUUGUGGAAAGUUUUUUCGGUGCAAGAUGAGCUUGCGGCCUAUCAGCUUGUUGGUGGGGUAAUGGCCUACCAAGGCGUCGACGGGUAGCCGGCCUGAGAGGGUGUACGGCCACAUUGGGACUGAGAUACGGCCCAGACUCCUACGGGAGGCAGCAGUGGGGAAUAUUGCACAAUGGGCGGAAGCCUGAUGCAGCGACGCCGCGUGGGGGAUGAAGGCCUUCGGGUUGUAAACUCCUUUCGACAGGGACGAAGCGUAAGUGACGGUACCUGUAUAAGAAGCACCGGCUAACUACGUGCCAGCAGCCGCGGUAAUACGUAGGGUGCGAGCGUUGUCCGGAAUUACUGGGCGUAAAGAGCUCGUAGGUGGUUUGUCGCGUCGUCUGUGAAAUUCCGGGGCUUAACUCCGGGCGUGCAGGCGAUACGGGCUGACUUGAGUGCUGUAGGGGAGACUGGAAUUCCUGGUGUAGCGGUGAAAUGCGCAGAUAUCAGGAGGAACACCGAUGGCGAAGGCAGGUCUCUGGGCAGUAACUGACGCUGAGGAGCGAAAGCAUGGGUAGCGAACAGGAUUAGAUACCCUGGUAGUCCAUGCCGUAAACGGUGGGCGCUAGGUGUAGGGGGCUUCCACGUCUUCUGUGCCGUAGCUACGCAUUAAGCGCCCCGCC
This 748-nucleotide ribosomal RNA is filed under the name uncultured Actinomycetes bacterium. RNAcentral describes it as "bacterial SSU rRNA". It matches the Rfam family "Bacterial small subunit ribosomal RNA", at positions 108 to 873 of the family's 1533-position model. The record is from RNAcentral. Lineage: Bacteria; Bacillati; Actinomycetota; Actinomycetes.